RNAcentral lists this unclassified non-coding RNA (226 nucleotides) under Hevea brasiliensis (rubber tree). Lineage: Eukaryota; Viridiplantae; Streptophyta; Magnoliopsida; Malpighiales; Euphorbiaceae. The record is from RNAcentral.
UAAAAUAAGUACUUAAUAGAGAUCGGAAGAGAGUUCUUAUCCGAGAUCCUUCAUCAAAUUUUAAAUCAAACACCUUAAGAGAUCAGGGGAGAGUUCUUACCUGAUUCUCGCCUAAAUUAAAACAGGAAGAUCAGAGGAGAGUUCUUAUCUGAAAUCUCCCGUUCAAAACUCUUAAUAAAAUAUGCCUAGAGAUCGGGAGAAGUUCCCUGCCCGAGCUCUCUUGAUA